This 797-nucleotide ribosomal RNA is filed under the name uncultured Alphaproteobacteria bacterium. RNAcentral's name for it is "bacterial SSU rRNA". It matches the Rfam family "Bacterial small subunit ribosomal RNA", at positions 46 to 889 of the family's 1533-position model. Lineage: Bacteria; Pseudomonadati; Pseudomonadota; Alphaproteobacteria. The record is from RNAcentral.
GCUUAACACAUGCAAGUCGAACGAGAUCUUCGGAUCUAGUGGCAGACGGGUGAGUAACGCGUGGGAACCUGCCCAGUAGUAGAGAAUAACUUGAGGAAACUUAAGCUAAUACUUUAUACACCCUUCGGGGAAAAGCUUUAUGCGCUAUUGGAUGGGCCCGCGUUAGAUUAGUUUGUUGGUGAGGUAAUGGCUCACCAAGACUACGAUCUAUAGCUGGUCUGAGAGGAUGAUCAGCCACACUGGGACUGAGACACGGCCCAGACUCCUACGGGAGGCAGCAGUGGGGAAUAUUGGACAAUGGGGGCAACCCUGAUCCAGCGAUGCCGCGUGAGUGAUGAAGGCCUUCGGGUUGUAAAACUCUUUCGUCAGGGAAGAUAAUGACGGUACCUGAAGAAGAAGAUCCGGCUAACUCCGUGCCAGCAGCCGCGGUAAUACGGAGGGAUCUAGCGUUAUUCGGAAUUACUGGGCGUAAAGCGAGCGUAGGCGGAUUUGUAAGUUGGAGGUGAAAUCCCAGAGCUUAACUCUGGAACUGCCUUCAAAACUACAUUUCUUGAGUUUGGUAGAGGAGAGUGGAAUUCCUAGUGUAGAGGUGAAAUUCGUAGAUAUUAGGAGGAACACCAGUGGCGAAGGCGACUCUCUGGGCCAAUACUGACGCUGAGGUUCGAAAGCAUGGGUAGCGAACAGGAUUAGAUACCCUGGUAGUCCAUGCAGUAAACGAUGAGUGCUAGAUGUUGGGAAUUUAAAUUUCCAGUAUCGCAGCUAACGCCUUAAGCACUCCGCCUGGGAAGUACGGCCGC